Molecule: ribosomal RNA, 253 nt
Filed under: uncultured bacterium
Lineage: Bacteria
Description: partial 16S ribosomal RNA
Rfam family: Bacterial small subunit ribosomal RNA
Source: RNAcentral
UACGGAGGGGGCGAGCGUUAUUCGGAAUUAUUGGGCGUAAAGGGCGCGUAGGCGGCUUGGUAAGUCAAAGGUGAAAUCCCUCGGCUCAACUGAGGAAUUGCCUUUGAAACUGCCUGGCUUGAGGCCGGGAGGGGGUAGCGGAAUUCCCAGUGUAGCGGUGAAAUGCGUAGAUAUUCGCAAGAACACCAGUGGCGAAGGCGGCUCACUGGCCCGGUACUGACGCUGAGGUGCGAAAGCGUGGGGAGCAAACAGG